Molecule: ribosomal RNA, 497 nt
Filed under: uncultured bacterium
Lineage: Bacteria
Description: partial 16S ribosomal RNA
Rfam family: Bacterial small subunit ribosomal RNA
Source: RNAcentral
GACGAACGCUGGCGGCGUGCCUAAUACAUGCAAGUUGAGCGAUGAAGAUUGGUGCUUGCACCAAUUUGAAGAGCAGCGAACGGGUGAGUAACGCGUGGGGAAUCUGCCUUUGAGCGGGGGACAACAUUUGGAAACGAAUGCUAAUACCGCAUAACAACUUUAAACAUAAGUUUUAAGUUUGAAAGAUGCAAUUGCAUCACUCAAAGAUGAUCCCGCGUUGUAUUAGCUAGUUGGUGAGGUAAAGGCUCACCAAGGCGAUGAUACAUAGCCGACCUGAGAGGGUGAUCGGCCACAUUGGGACUGAGACACGGCCCAAACUCCUACGGGAGGCAGCAGUAGGGAAUCUUCGGCAAUGGACGAAAGGCUGACCGAGCAACGCCGCGUGAGUGAAGAAGGGUUUCGGAUCGUAAAACUCUGUUGGUAGAGAAGAACGUUGGUGAGAGUGGAAAGCUCAUCAAGUGACGGUAACUACCCAGAAAGGGACGGCUAACUACGUG